This 311-nucleotide long non-coding RNA is filed under the name Phoenix dactylifera (date palm). Its description in RNAcentral is "long non-coding RNA (PDAC_LNC000644)". Lineage: Eukaryota; Viridiplantae; Streptophyta; Magnoliopsida; Arecales; Arecaceae. The record is from RNAcentral.
CGAGAGUCUCUUCUUGGAGCAUCCUUUUCAUCUUGCCUCCUCUUGCCACCUUUUUCGGGCCUAUCCUUGGUUGACUCUCGCUGAGAUGCCAUAACUUCCUCAGCAUUGGUAUACUAUUUUGCUUGGGCUAACAUCUCUGCAAAGUUUGUGGGGUAGCGCUUCUCCAAAGAAAAUAGAAAAUGGGACGACCUCAAACUACCCUUUAAAGCCGACAUAGUGACCAACUGAUCCAAGUUGCAUACUUCCAACAUCGCCGCAUUGAAGUGGUUAUCAAAAUUUCUGAGGGACUCUCCUUCUCUCUAUUUAAUGUC